Molecule: long non-coding RNA, 1774 nt
Organism: Phyllopteryx taeniolatus (common seadragon)
Lineage: Eukaryota; Metazoa; Chordata; Actinopteri; Syngnathiformes; Syngnathidae
Exons: 2
Source: RefSeq, a predicted model, not a curated record
AAACGACCACAAGAGGGUAUGACUAAAAUAAAAAAACAAUCUAUUUCAGCACUUGAACUCCAUCCAUCCAUUUUCCACACAAGGGUCGCGGGCGUGCUGGAGCCCAUCCCAGGCCAUCAUCGGGCAGGAGGUGGGGUACACCCUCAACACACGCAAACAAAACAAUUUGCACUCACAUUCACACCUACGGGCAAUUGAAGAGUCUUCAAUCAACGUAGCACACGCAUGUUUUUGGAAACCGGAGAAAACCCACGAACAUGCAAACUCCACACAGGCGGGGCCGGGGAUUGAACCCAGGUCCACAGAACUGUGAGGCAAGACUGUCUUCCAGUACUGUGGCCGUUACACCUCUGAACCUGAAACACUGAAGUUUUUCAAUCGCAUGCAUAUGCUAGUAAAAGUGCAUUUGCACUGCCAGUGGAACCUUUUUUUUUUUACUAGUAAGAAACAGUUGUUCUACUGGUGCGCUAAAUUGUCUUACUAGUGCGGACACAGAGCAUACUAGUACACGACCUUUGAGCUGGACAAUAAGGAUAUCGAACAAAUGCUCAAACAGCUUUUUCUACAAGACCGUCACCCAACCAUUACAACUAUUUCACCAAGCCAUUGACUCUCUGUCCCAUGUGAACAAAUGACACCAGUGUGAAAAUAUGUGCGAUGACGAUGUGACACGACUCGUAAACAUACUGGACGCACUGUCGUGUGUGCACCUGUCAAGCCUGUUCUCAUUUUCUUGGACGAAAAUGAUCAUUAUUGACAUUGACAUUGUAUGUUAUUUUCCUGAAAAUGAUGGUUAGUUCACAAAUUGUACAAACUUUAGGAGGUUUAUGUUCAAAGGUUUUACUGUAUUGCACCAAAAUUAUAGUAGAAUAAGUCAAGUCAAAAGUGAUUUCCUUAAUGGUAUACUAUACACAAUAUCACAAUGGCUGCUCAGCGUGACCGUUUGCACUUGUCCGCUUGGCCACUCACCUCAAAUGUGAAAGUUAUUUCAGUGCUGCAUGCACAUCAUUGAGUUGAAAUGAAUUCAUUUCAGAUACACUAUUGGCACGACGUGCCGUCAGAGGCUAUUGUGACAUUUUGAAGGCUACAUUAGAAAUCAUUUUUAAGACUGCAACUUGACUACACGCCUUCUUACCCACAUUCAAUAUGGCAGGUGAGGACAUUGUAGAGCCAGAUCUUAGUUUGUUCAAAACACUGUUCUUCCUUUAACCUCUAGAAAGGGAAUGCAGUCAUUCUAACUGCUGUCAAAUAGUGGUUAGUAGUAGUAGCUAUAUCUGGAGACAUUGAACAAUUACAUCCUUACGAUACGGCAAAAGGCGAGGCGCAAAUAUAUCAUCCCCGUUACUUUUUCUGGAAUAGCGAACAUACUAGUUUGACGUUGAUGUUUGCAGCGCUUUAUAAUCGAGAAAAUAUUCCUGCAAGUUUGAAGACCAGGCAAAAAUGUCAACAGGUAGCAAGUACAGACAUCUGAAUAGUACAUAACGGACCAAGUGCAGUGUAUGGUAGAAGGAAUGGCAGAUGUAGUCCGAUUGCUUUGCCGAGACACAACAUUCGGUAAACGUUUUUUUCCCCUCCAGCCCACAGCUGACCUCUCCUUGGAAAUUUAUGUAUCGAAGCCAUGACACCAUAUUUUGAGUUGAAGCUCUCGCCCUUCAGAACUAUGACCAAAGUUGCCAAGUGCAGCUCGUAAGAGUUCUAUUUGUAGCUUGAGUCAUCUGGAGUCAUUUGGAGCAAAAUAGUGCUUCCACAUUAAAAGAUUAUGUUUGCCAAGUGA